RNAcentral lists this long non-coding RNA (498 nucleotides) under Marmota monax (woodchuck). The record is from RNAcentral. Lineage: Eukaryota; Metazoa; Chordata; Mammalia; Rodentia; Sciuridae.
UGGCGGCCGGCGCUGAGGGAUCAAUUCUAUGACCUCUUCAGCUGCGCAGGCAAAGGGAGUCUUAAACUGACUGAAUACUGUUUGCUCAGGAUCACUUGGCAAUGCUGGGCUGAAGUGGACCUAGGGCAAGCAGUUUGUGCCCCUCAGAGCCCACACUGAGCCCAGAGCGGGUGAAUUCAGGCUGCCCAGAGCAGUCUCUGGCUGAUUGUCUGCGCCUUCCCGCCAAACCACCGCGACUCAGUGCUACAGACAUUCUGGCGGAAUAGAGAAACAACUCCUCGGUUCCUCCAUUAACCUUUUGAGGUGAUGCCAACCAAGCCUUCAUAGGCAGCGGGCCCAGAAUUGAGAAGGGACCUGGGAGAGUCAGACUGGACCCACCCAGCAAAGAGAACAAACAUCUGCCCUUCGCAUUGGACACCACCAUGGCAGAGAACUGACGUCACCAGAAUUCAGUGGAGGGGAUAGCUUAAUCGAAACCGGAGACUGCAGGUGUGUGAC